Oncorhynchus tshawytscha (Chinook salmon) is the source of this 2747-nucleotide long non-coding RNA. NCBI's taxonomy places the organism in Eukaryota, Metazoa, Chordata, Actinopteri, Salmoniformes, Salmonidae. The record is from Ensembl.
CAGCCAAACUAGCUGAAUGAAAUAACUGGGCUGGCUAGUAAGAUAGAUAACAAGCAGCUCUUCCAAGUCAGCUUGGAUUGCGAUGUUUCUGUUUUCUUUAGCUAGCUAGCUAUCUAAAGCUGAAGUCAUUCGAUUUUUAAUUUUCCUGACAUUGUUAUAAAUUUUAACACAACUCUUCUUUAUGUAUAGGUAUUCAGACGUUCCUGAUUACCGGACAGACCAUAUUUUCCAGAAUACAUUGGAAAGGUACGUCAGUAUAUUCAAAUGUCUGUGUGUUUUCAUUGUAACUCACAUAAGUGCUUGUAGGGCCCCAUGAUUUCUGCAAUGCAAAGACGGAAUCCAGAAAUUUAAACAGAAUACACGGUACCCCUCGGACAGGAUACACAGGAUAUUUUUAUUACAGUACCCCAACAUUUGUGUGAAUAAUAAGUAUUAGAUGUAUCCUGUAUUUUUAAAUCAACCAAAUGGAUUGAACACGUUAGGCAACAAAAAGUUAACACGGAAUUCUGGAAAAUAAAACAGCAUUUGGGACAAAUAGAACAAGGAUUUCAUAGGGUCCUAUUAGUGUUUUUCUCAAUGUGUUGUCGCCCAGGCAGGUAUAGACAAUGUGUGUCUUCCUUAUUUUAGAAUGAGAUAGCAUAUGGGGGCAGCAGGUAACCUAGUGGUUAGAGUGCUGUGCCGGUAACCGAAAGGUUGCUGGAUCGAAUCCCCGAGCUGACAAGGUCAAAAUCUGUCGUUCUGCCCCUGAACAAGGAAGUUAACCGAUUGUUCCUCUGUAGGCGGUCACUGUAAAUAACAAUUUGUUCUUAACUGACUUGCCUAGUUAAAUAAAGGUUACAUAAGUAAUAAUAUAUGUUUGUGCUGAUGUAUACACACACAAAAAAUGAAUGGAUUAUAUCUUGAGUCCGCAGGGAUCAGGCGGCACAUGCAAUUUAAGAGCUGCAGUUUUGCUGCUUUCAAGUACAAAUACGUGACAACCACAACAUUGUGAGUGUCAAAAUGGCAAAGACCUUCUAAUAUCGAAGACAAGAUGUUUUCAAGCCCUUCCUGUGAGGACUUCAAAGAAAGAUGGGCAGCCCCUUUUAAGCCCAACCAGUGCAACACCAUCCAGGAAAGAAGAGACAGUGUGAUCCAUGCCCUGAUCAUAUACCUCGGCGAGAGGGUUGAAGACCUUAUUACAGAACACAAGGAUGCUAACGACACCGUGAUCCGAGAGGACCUCGUUCAGCAUGUGAUGAAGGUGUUCACUGUGAAGGAUCUGCACCAGAAUAUAGAGCAUGGGAUCUGCAUCGAAGGAGCAGAGGUCCUGUCUGGUAUUUGUGGUUCUACACAGUCACGUACCUUGUAUAUGGGCCUCAUCUAUGACUUGAAUCUAAGGUACACCAAAGAACUGAAAUAUACCUUUGAGGUGUUCCAAAAAGUAUUCUUGGAACUUGGUGAUCUCAGGAACUUCUCACGGGUCCAAGCUCUAAAGAUGAAGUUACUUGUUUUCAGAGAUAUCUAAAGAUAUCUAUGAGAACUCUCAAAGGGCCACUAAACAACUGUGGUCUAAACCCUACUCAGUAAGCUGAAAGGCUAGUUGCUAGGUGGUAUAGGUGCUACAGUUUACAUGAUGCUCUUUGUCAGGUGAAGUCAUAAGAGACAUUGUAAAUUCCUGUUUAAAAAACAGCUUUGUUUUCAAAUUUACUCCAUAUGCACUUGUGGAUUUCUGAGAUGAUUUGUAGUCAGGUGCAAGAUAUCUGGAUGUAACUUUAGGAGGCACGGUGGAGUUAUACCCAGAAUGCUUAUACCUGUCAAAAUAAUAUUGAAUGAGGUUGUAUUUGAGCUAAAGUUCAUAUUGUGCUUUGUGUAAAGUCUAUUAAGAUAAAUCCUUCAUUUAUGUUUCUGUUAAAACAUCGCUAUGUUGUUAAGGGGCACACAGAACACCAGAGAAUUCUUGCCAAACUCUACAAGAUGUGAGGUCAAAGUGCUAAUCCCAACCUAUCACCUAAACUUUAUGCAGUUGUGAAGAUCUGAACAUAUUCGUAGUCAGGUGCAAGCUUUCUGAAUGUAACUUUACCUAAGGAGGCAAGGUGGAUUUAUACGCAGAAUGAUUAAAGAUGAAAGUAAUGAGCUCUCCACAAAUGCUUAAGGAGUAGGGUAUAAGAGGCAAUUGAUGUUUGAAGAAAACCUUUAAUCAAAAUAAAGGUGUUGAAGUUUGAAGUUGACCACUGUUGUUUCUUUUUGCAUAUUCCCUUGUAUAGAAAUACCAUCUUUAGUCCAUUUUCCCAAGUCUAUUGAGGUAACUAUUUGCAUCAGCUUUUUAAGUAUAUUUGCGAGUAUAUAUUUGAGUAGUAAGAUUAAAUACAUUUUACGAACCUGAGUACCAUAAGUAACUGAGCAAAAUCAUUUGUAGAUAAAACAUAGAAUAUCAAUUACGAUACGGAGUAAAUUCAGCAAAUUAACCUUACAAUGUUAGUUCUGUAACUGAUUACAUUAAGUAUAUCAAACUUAUAACAUUAGUUCUGGGACUUGAAGGACUUAAGCAGGUCAAACUAAAAAAACAAAUGUUCUGAAUGUGAUAAAAUUAAGUUGAAUGAAAGGAAUUAUUGAGAUCCUGUUAGUUGUUUGCACUUAAUAUAUUUGAGUUUGUGAUGCACUAAAAGCAAAGUAUAUUAUACUUAAAUGAUCCUCCUUUUUGGAUUUACUUAAAAGGCUGAUGCAAAUAGUUACCAAAAAAUGUUUAAGUAAAAGGGGCACAAUAUUUU